UAUCAACGGCAUCACGAGGAUCCUACUGUCUCCCCCCUCUAAUCAGUGAAACUGAUCUCCCCGUGAAGAAGCGGGGAUAUACAUAUAAGACGAGAAGACCCCAUGGAGCUUUAAACCUGACAGCACCCGCUCAUUCUAUACCCCAUUAUUUGCCCGACCCCUGUCUGCUCAGUUUUAGGUUGGGGUGACCACGGAGUAUAAAAUAACCUCCAUGAAGAAGGGGAUAUUUCCCUUAUUAGAGAACCACACUUCCAAGAACUAAUAAAUUAAUUUUCAAUGACCCGAUACCAGAUAAUCGAUCAACGAACCAAGUUACCCUGGGGAUAACAGCGCAAUCCACCCUGAAAGCCCUUAUUAACAGGUGGGUUUACGACCUCGAUGUUGGAUCAGGGUAUCCCAGUGGUGCAGCAGCUACUGAGGGUUCGUUUGUUCAACGAUUAAAACCCU
Molecule: ribosomal RNA, 447 nt
Filed under: Boophis quasiboehmei
Lineage: Eukaryota; Metazoa; Chordata; Amphibia; Anura; Mantellidae
Description: partial 16S ribosomal RNA
Rfam family: Bacterial large subunit ribosomal RNA
Source: RNAcentral